GCGGAGCCGUUGGGGAGCGGGGAGAGGGGUGCGUGUGAGCGGGGAGCCGGGCCGGCACCUCAGGGGGCGUGUGAGCCCUGUUGGUGGGAAAGGCGCGCCGGCGCCCGUGGGCCCUGUGAACCGGGCACGGGGCCCUGUCAGUGGGAGAGGCGCGCCGGCGCCCCGGGGCCCUAUGAGCCGGUAGGGUGGGCAGUCACCCUCUGGCGUGAGGGGCGAGCAGCUGGCAGUCGAACCCGGGCCCCCUCCGCGUGGGGCCGGCGAGGCGCCCGGAGAAAGCUGUGAGACACCAGCAGUGGGCUUGGCCAGUGCCUGCGUCCCGCCGCCACCGGGCUCCUAAUUGUUUUUAAUUUGAGGAGAGUUCUUGAAACUUGAAAGUAUUACUGCGUUUGAAUUGUCAAGUUGAUCUGCAAGGAACAUUUCAAGAGACGCAAAAGCGGCUGCUGCCUGGUGAUCCAGCACCGUGCCUGAAGUCAGCAUCCUGGUUCUGACACUUAGCAGCUGUGGGAUCUUGGCAAAACCUGUCUUACCUGGAUUAAACGUGGGCAGUUUUUAAAAGUAGGAUGUUUUCUUAGAAAGGGUUUAGGAAAUCUUCAUGCAACUCAGUGUUAAUUUUAACAAUAUCUCUGAGAGCCUUCCACAGAAGUAUGUGGAUCGUUUAUCUGGAGCUGCUGGUCAAAGAGGAAAAGAAGACAUUAAAUGGACAAGUAGAAGAUUGAGGAUCUUACAGCAGAGCUGGAAGCUACAUCUUCAAAAUGCCUGCACCUGGAUGCAAAAAAUCAAGUUCUUCGAGAGGAGUUAUUAUCUAUGAAAGGAAUGCAAAAGAAGUGUGAAAAACUAGAGAAUAAUAAAAAGAAGUUGGAGCAAGAAGUAGUGAACCUCAGAAGUCAUAUAGAAAUGAAGAUGAUCAAACACAGUCAAGUAGCAGAAUAAACAGGAGAUUGAAGAAAGGGUGAGACAGGAUCUCGUGGAGAAAUUAAAGGAAGUCAACCUAUUCUUGCAGAUACAAGCAGCAUCUCAGGAGAACUUAGCGCACUUACAAGAGAAGAAUAAUGCUUCCAUAAGAAGUCAGAUGGAACUCAGAAUUAAAGACUUGGAAUCUGAACUCUCCAAGGCGAAAAUUUUGCAAGAAGAUUCUCAUAAAGCAGAGUUGGAAAAAUAUAAGCAACUACCUAGUAGAACUAGAAGUUCGAAAGUCAUUGGAAGGUAAACUAGACAAAGUGAAGAUGGUGUACAGAGUGAAGGUACAGGCAGAAACGCUUCACAGUUCCUGUGUUCCAAGAACAGAGAUGCUCCGCCAGCUCACUCUUCAACCUUGUUCCCAGCAGGUAUGAUGGAUUUGUUUGAGUUCUGAGCUGCUGUCAGAGUGGAGCGUCUGAUUGGAUCUCCAUGCUAACCAAAAUGUUCAGCACUGGUGCAUCGCGUAUUGACUGAUUUCUAACUUGAAGUCCUGCGGUCUUCCUGGAGGAAAGGAUAGCAGGGACUUGUUCUUGUGUAUUGCCAGCGGUGGUGUCUUAGAUCAAAUGCCUGCGAAGUCCCAAAAUGUGACCCAAGUCAGGUGACCCAGCCCUCUUUCCCAUGUAGUGAACAGCGUCAGGGACGUCUCUCCCCAGCGGUGGUACUUGAACUGUGUAUUCUCAUCUUCAUCAUGAUAAUGUAGCAAACUCUUCGGGCUUGGCACUGAAAAGAUGGACAAUUCAAACCAGAUGAUUAUAAUCCACGUGGCUCUGGAUGUAAUAAAGACAGUCAUAUGAUGA
Molecule: long non-coding RNA, 1754 nt
Organism: Bubalus bubalis (water buffalo)
Lineage: Eukaryota; Metazoa; Chordata; Mammalia; Artiodactyla; Bovidae
Exons: 6
Source: RefSeq, a predicted model, not a curated record